AUUGAACGCUGGCGGCAUGCCUUACACAUGCAAGUCGAACGGCAGCACGGGGGCAACCCUGGUGGCGAGUGGCGAACGGGUGAGUAAUACAUCGGAACGUGUCCAGUUGUGGGGGAUAACCAGUCGAAAGAUUGGCUAAUACCGCAUGCGCCCGAAAGGGGAAAGCGGGGGACCUGUGAGGGCCUCGCGCGAUUGGAGCGGCCGAUGUCCGAUUAGCUAGUUGGUGAGGUAACGGCUCACCAAGGCGACGAUCGGUAGCUGGUCUGAGAGGACGACCAGCCACACUGGGACUGAGACACGGCCCAGACUCCUACGGAGGCAGCAGUGGGGAAUUUGGACAAUGGGGGCAACCCUGAUCCAGCCAUGCCGCGUGUGUGAUGAAGG
Molecule: ribosomal RNA, 384 nt
Filed under: uncultured bacterium
Lineage: Bacteria
Description: bacterial SSU rRNA
Rfam family: Bacterial small subunit ribosomal RNA
Source: RNAcentral